This is a long non-coding RNA of Dreissena polymorpha, 1055 nucleotides long. RefSeq lists it as uncharacterized. NCBI's taxonomy places the organism in Eukaryota, Metazoa, Mollusca, Bivalvia, Myida, Dreissenidae. The record is from RefSeq and is a predicted model, not a curated record. The transcript has 2 exons.
CUUUGGGUUUCCAUUCUGGUACUAUGUAUAUAACCAUUAACCACCGCUGUUCACAGCUUAAGUUUAUACACACAGCCGGAACGAGUAGAAAAGAAGAAUUUACUGUUACGGUGACAGUAAGAAACAAUACCAACAACACGACUACUAUGGCAUCUACACGAGUAAUCUUGGUCUGUAUCGUCAUUGUUACCAUUGUGUUGGUCACAGAGGGACGAAUGUGUCAAAUGGACCCUGCCACCAUGACAUGCAACGACGUUGUGCUGCGAGGGGGUCCGUUUAAGGGCGUACCCAGGUGCUCGAGCACGGGAAAACAAUGCCAGUUGAAAAUGCGACGCCAUUCAAUUCAGUGUAUGUGCGAAGAUAAACGGAUUGGGGUUCAUCUACAUUAGAAUAAUAAGUGUUUUAUCAACUUUACGGAAACCGUCCAAUAUCAGUGAUAUGGCCCCACAUAUUACAGGAAGAUUCAAACAGUUGUUCAGUUAAUUCCUGAAUGAUAUAUUAUGUCAGGAUGUAAUUGCUUAAAUCUUGUAUGGUCAAAACACGUAAUUAAGAGAGUUGUCUAGACAAAAACUAACUCUGAAUAAAUUACAAAAAUGUUUAAUGAAAAAUUUUUUUUAAAUAGGCUCACAAUACAUAUGUUUCAUAUUUGACAUUUUACAUGAGUACGGAGAAUUCUCAUUCUGUGUCGUUAAUUCGAGAUUCUUCAUCUUGUAAUAAUCCGUACUUUAUUAAUAGUUGUCUGUACGAUACAGUUGGUCAUGAUACUCAUUCUUAAAUAUGUUAUAUAUCACAUUUAAUUGAUUCAAUAUUUAUGUGCAUUGGUUUUGUUUCAUAUAUUUGAUGUUUUUAUGAUGCUAAUUUACAAGUGCCAGUAUUUGUGUACAAACGUUUGCAUUUUUGAAUACGGGUCAAUUGUAGUUUUACAUUUAUUCUUAAAACACAUAUUUAUUUACUAAAAUAUAAGGUUUGCACUUGAAAUGCGUACACGUGUGUUAUCCAAGAUACAUUUGGAAUGAUCAUAUGUGUAUUUCUGAAAAUAAAUUAAAACAAAAGUA